AUGGGGCACACUCACUUCUGCAAGCGGAUCUUUCAGCUCGAUGUGAACCGCGAAGGCUGGGCCGAGAGGUCCGGCAAGGAUGCGAAGGCCGGCAAGGUCGUCAAGGGGCCCUUGUUUGGGUUGCCAGCGGGGGUGGUCCCGCUGAGCAACAACUCGCGCCAGACCGACAUCGUCGCCAUGAUGCCGGACUGCAAUGCACACGGUCCCAUCCAAAAUUGGGCCCCGCCGCCGGAGGAGCAGGUGCAGGAGUUCUUUGACAGCUUGGCGGAGAUAUACGUCCGCAAUGAGCCACUGCUGAUCCAGGACACCACUCAGGCGGAGCUGGACUAUUUUGCCGCCAGGGCGGUGGAGACAGAGCUUGCCAGGUAG
This 369-nucleotide ribosomal RNA is filed under the name Triticum aestivum (bread wheat). RNAcentral describes it as "partial small subunit ribosomal RNA". Lineage: Eukaryota; Viridiplantae; Streptophyta; Magnoliopsida; Poales; Poaceae. The record is from RNAcentral.